This is a long non-coding RNA of Mastomys coucha (southern multimammate mouse), 4520 nucleotides long. RefSeq lists it as uncharacterized. The transcript is spliced from 3 exons. NCBI's taxonomy places the organism in Eukaryota, Metazoa, Chordata, Mammalia, Rodentia, Muridae. The record is from RefSeq and is a predicted model, not a curated record.
GGUCUCAGGGAUUAUCUCAUGGAAUCCUCCAAUGCUCCCUAAGAAAAGGGCAUUGUGACCUUGGACUGCACAGGCUUGACUCCUAAGCCACCCCUUGGCUGCCUGUGUCCCAGGCGCAUGCAGCACUCUGCAGUCAAGGGUCAUGCUGUACUCCCCCCCCCGCUCCCCUCUCCCCCUCCCCACUUCCCCAGCCUCAUCUUUAGCCUCUGUCCUACUUCUGUUUUUGCCUCUGCCUAACACUACCUGGCACAUAUAAAUGUUGAAUGACUGGAAGGACUUCACAAGAGACCCCACAUUAUUCAGAAGACAUUGUCGCUGCUGUUGUGGCAGGGAAGAGACGAGCUAUAUGAAACAGGACAAAGUCAGCAGAGAAGCCACUGAUGGCCUGACAACAGCCGGGUGUGGGAGGAGGAAGAGGGAUGGGUGGGCAGGGACAGCAUGUGAGAAUCGCAGGUAAUGCAUGGAUUUAUUGCCAGCCUACCAGGUGGAAGGAGAGCGGCUGUGUCAGAGUUAGGCCAGGAGGCUUGGGCCAGCCCCAGCCCUGGAGUGUCCGUGGAAGCGUCUAGAGGCAAGGCAGGCGUGAGUGCUGGGGACUUGCUUUCUUGUCCACUCACAUUCUGAGUUGCAGCCAUUCAUCCAGGUGACAAGACUCUAAGGCAGCCUAUGGCAAAACCUUGCUGAAGAAGGUGGCUUCACCCUGAACUGUGCAGAGAUGCUUGGAGGUGGCCUGAUGCAGAGGGAUGCCUGCUUGUGUCACCUCAUCCUGCCCCUUCUUUGUAGUGAGGUAAAAAAUGCAGUUCUCAGAGGUCCAGUUCACCGGCUCAACGGCCACCGGGAGACUUCCGGAAGCCCAUGCCGAGUGAAGGGAGUGGAGUUGAAUUUGACUUGGCAGAUUUCGCCUAUCUUCUCUUCUCACACACAGAGGAGGGAGCUGCAAAAUUUAUAAAGUCGAAGCAAGCUGAGAAACUACAUUUGGCUCUCUCUUGACCUUCCCCUCAGCCAAGCUGCGUGACGGUGCUGCCUUCUAGGCCAGACAGGACCAUCUAAGAUCCGAAGGCAUUUUUAAAAUCUCUUGCCUGGAAGAAGGACAAGCAGAUGAUACAUGGAGUACCACAAAUGAUCACAGGCAAAAUUAAAGUGUGCCCAGAGAAGCUGUGGAGAUAGAGCCGUGGGUUAAGUGCUGGCCAGGUGAGAGAAGCCAAGGACCCAGCAGCUUCACGCCUGGCAUGCCCUUUUCCUGGCACAAGGCAGCUUCUCCUUAUUCUGCAGUGAUAUCAGGAGUCAGAAUCACCGUCCAUUCUGAUCACAGCAGCACAUAAUCUGAUGGAAGGAGCUGGCAGGCAACAAGACAGCUGGGCUGCAAUGAAUGAGACAGGCUGUGGCUUCAAGGUGAGCCUGUGUCAUGCCUGGAGCCUACAGACUAUUUGAAGAUGUGCUGUCUCCUUAAGAGCAAAGGAGUGUGGUUUUUAUAAUGCAGGAAAUCACAAGGGGCUCCCAGAGGGAGGAGUGAAUGCUCCACUACUCCUUGGGUGGCCCCAGUAGUAAGCGAUGCCCUCUCCGCCCAAGCAAGGAUGCAUUUGGGUGAAUGAAACCUCUUCCUGUUCUCCCAGGCCCCUGGGGACCCUCCAAGUCACUUGUUACCAUGGUUAGAAUUCCUGGCAUUGUGUCUCCCUAUUCUUGUACAUCUUUGGGGAACAAAACAACCUCCGUUGUAUUUGUUGAAGGAUACCACAAAACCAUUUCCUGGGAACAUCUCUCAGCAGGUUCAGCUUUGGGUAUCUGAGGUUAACUUUGGCUGGGGGUGGUUCUCCCAGAGUCUGGAAAAGGCUUCCUAGAGGGAUUCUUUGGUGGGUUGGGAAGCAUGAAGAGAUGUUUCCUAGGCACAUCGUAGACACCAGGAGUAUCCCUCGCAAAGCUAACAAUAGAUAUGGAAGAGAACAGACACAGAGGUGGAAUUGUGAGAGAGGGGCUGGGAGCAGAAGAAGCUGAGAUGGAGACAGGCUUGCGUGUUAAUUGGCAUGGCCUCAGAAGCAAGACGCGGGAGGUCUUCAGUGGUUCAGGGAGGCUAAGACUUGCAUUAGGAGAAACAAGGCCUGCUCCGGAGGCCACAGCAUGCAGCUGCUGACAGCUUUAAUUUAGGCAGCUGGUGAGGGGUACCUCUUCACAUUCUGCCCACAUUCAUAAUUGUAUUGAUAUUCCAUGCACAGAUGAGUGUUCAUUCUUGUUUGUUUUUUCUUUUAUUUUUCACACUAGCAAAAAAUCUACAUGAUAGACUCUUUAAGAGAAAAUUAGACACGCUGUAGAAAGCACAGUAAAAGAGAUGUUUGAGUGAUCUAGGCCCCCAUCCUUCAGAGGUAAAUAGUGGUUGUUUCUGGAGUCCACUUUUAUCAUACAUCUAGAUUCUAAACAACAAAUGAGAUUAGAAACUAUAGGUCAUUUUAAAACCUCCCCCCCCAUCAAUACGAUCAGAAACUUUUCAUCACACCCCUACGAUCAGAAGCUUUUCAUCACACUCCUACUAUCAGAAAUUUUGGUCACACCCCUGCGAUCAGAAACUUUUCGUCACACUCCUACAUCCUUGGCCGUGGUCCUACUUUGAAUGACUAUGUGGUAGGCCUUUGUUAAAACAGAGGGGACAUGCAUUUGUCCAGGUGGCUAUUUUUAGACCUUCAGCUUACAGGAAUGCCUGCCAUCUCUGCCUCUCCCGCCUCUCCCUCCUCUCCUGCCUCUACCGCCUCUCCUGCCUCUCCCACCUCAUCCAAAUCAAUCCCCUGCUGGUGCCCAGACCAUAGAGAAGUCACCAUACUGCCUCUUGUCCACAGCUAUUUUGUGUUCUGUUCUAUCCUAACUCUGCCCAUUGGUCAGUGAGGGGCUACAGACAAAAUUUGGAGUUUCUGAGACCUGUGCUACAUAUCCUAGAUGCUGAAGCAGUGGCCACAGCUUGGCUAGAGAGAAGGAAAACCCAUCGACGUACGAGUGUUCCUUCCUCUCCACGAGCUCCUUCCAACCAGAAGCAAGCCACCAGCUUGCAGUGGUAAACACGACUUGUUGGCAGCCUGGCCUGAGACAAGCCACUGACAUUGUAGAUAAAUGAGGACUAGUGAAGCUGUUCCCGUCUCCCAUCUGGGUAGCUGAGUUGGGUUUCCAUUUGUGCCUGCACCCCGAGGCCUUGGUGAAUGGGUCAUUGUUACACUGGCAAUCAGUUUGUGUGCUCCACUGAACUCACAUCCCUGGAGCUGGGAAAGACCACGUGUGCCCUGUGAGGGUACACUCUGAAGUUCUGGGGUCAAGAAACUCACUGCUUAAUGAAUGACUCAGAAAUCCAGCAUCUAUGUGAGCUGCAGGGAGAAGCCUUCAAAGGAGAUCCUAUAAGAAGAAUGUAGUAUGUUCAUCCGUUCUUUCAUGCAUUUUCCAUUCAUCUAUCUAUAUACCCAUCCUCUAGUACAUAUUUCCACAAAUCUACUGAUCUAUCAUUCAUCUAUCUGUCUACCAACCCAUUCUUUGGUCUACCUAUAUAUCCACCCACCCAUCUUUCUCUCCUCCAUCCACUCAUCCACCUUCCUGCUCACCUAUCUAUGUACCCACUUACUCAUCUAGUUCAUCUAGGUAUAUACCUAGUCAUCUACCCAGCCACCUGCCCAUUUAUCCACUAUGUACCCAUCUGACCUCUGCCUACCUUCCUACUCAUUUAUCCACCUGUCCACAUAUCAGCCCAUUCAUCUAUCUAUCCACCCCCUUCAUAUGUCUAUACCAUCUACCCACAUUCUCAUCUUCCAUCAUCCAUCCAUCCAUCCAUCCAUCCAUCCAUCCAUCCAUUUACUCAUCAAUCCACUCAUCUAUUUAUCUAUCUAUGCAUCCAUCCACCUACCCACAAAUCCAUCCACCCAUUUAUCCACCCACCUUCCUAUCUAUCUAUCUAUCUAUCUAUCUAUCUAUCUAUCUAUCUAUCUAUCUAUCUGUCUAUCUACCUAUCCACUCAACAAUCCAGUUAUCCAUUCAUCUACCUACUUAUCCAUCCAUCCAUCCAUCCAUCCAUCCAUCCAUCCAUCCAUUGAUUCAUCCAUAUACACAGACAUACACUUGUUCAUCUAGCCAUCUAGGUACUUAUGCAUUCAUUUAAUAGAUGUAUUUGGCACUUAUUAUAUGCAGACUAUCUUAGGCACUUAGGACACUCAGUGAAUAGCAGUGACAAAAAUCCUCGAUCGUGAAACUUAUCCCUAGCAAGGAGAAUCAGGCAACACACUGUGAAUGCAGUAAAUAAGUUACAUAGUAUUUAGAAGAUGUUAAGGGGCAAGGGCAAAAGCAGAGGAGGGAUGGAAGGCUGCAGGUUAGAGUAGAGGGAAUGCAAUGGUUAACUUCUGUAUACCAUGACUGGGUUUAGAGUCACUAUGGCAACGCACUCUGGGUGUUAUAUUAUGAAGAUGUUGGCAUGCUUAAUUGAAGUGGAAAGAUUCAUCCUGAUUGUGGCAGCCCUGCAGAUGCAGGUGGUAGUUCCUUGAUGAAUAAAAAAGAGAGAAGCC